UACGUAGGUGGCAAGCGUUGUUCGGAAUUAUUGGGCGUAAGGGCGCGUAGGCGGUCUUGUAAGUCAGCUGUGAAAGCCCGGGGCUCAACCCCGGAGGGUCGGCUGAUACUGCAGGACUGGAGUACGGAAGAGGUAGCUGGAAUUCCCGGUGUAGCGGUGAAAUGCGUAGAUAUCAGGAGGAACACCAAUUGCGAAGGCAGCUCGCUGGGACGUUACUGACGCUGAGACGCGAAAGCGUGGGGAGCAAACAGG
Molecule: ribosomal RNA, 252 nt
Filed under: uncultured bacterium
Lineage: Bacteria
Description: partial 16S ribosomal RNA
Rfam family: Bacterial small subunit ribosomal RNA
Source: RNAcentral